UGCCAGCCGCCGCGGUAAUACGAAGGGUGCUAGCGUUGUUCGGAAUUACUGGGCGUAAAGAGCAUGUAGGCGGUUAAUUAAGUCAGAUGUGAAAGCCCUGGGCUCAACCUGGGAAUUGCAUUUGAUACUGGUUAUCUAGAGUCCGAGAGAGGUUAGUGGAAUUCCCAGUGUAGAGGUGAAAUUCGUAGAUAUUGGGAAGAACACCAGUGGCGAAGGCGGCUAACUGGCUCGGUACUGACGCUGAGAUGCGAAAGCGUGGGGAGCAAACAGGAUUAGAUA
This 279-nucleotide ribosomal RNA is filed under the name uncultured bacterium. Its description in RNAcentral is "partial 16S ribosomal RNA". It matches the Rfam family "Bacterial small subunit ribosomal RNA", at positions 506 to 784 of the family's 1533-position model. The record is from RNAcentral.